GCGAAGCAUCUGCCAAGGAUGUUUUCAUUAAUCAAGAACGAAAGUUAGGGGAUCGAAGACGAUCAGAUACCGUCGUAGUCUUAACCAUAAACGAUGCCGACCAGCGAUUAGGAGACGUUGAAUACAAAACACCACCAUCGGCGCGGUCGUCCUUGGCGUUCGUGUUCACGCACGAGCGCGAGGGCGGCUUAGCCCGAUGGCACCGGUGAAUGACUCCCCU
Molecule: ribosomal RNA, 220 nt
Filed under: Acanthamoeba genotype T4
Lineage: Eukaryota; Discosea; Longamoebia; Acanthamoebidae
Description: partial 18S ribosomal RNA
Rfam family: Eukaryotic small subunit ribosomal RNA (bases 1-167)
Source: RNAcentral